GCCACAAUGAACCACUUCUCAUGUCGGCAGGUGGUUUCUGCCAUGUCCUUUCUGCUGCCUGCUGUCUGGCUGGUUAGGGAGCCAAGAGAAGAUGCUUAUAAGGUUGGGACCUGGGCUGCGGGGAGGAUGCUCCACCCUAGCAGGGGACCUGGAAGUACCUGCCUCAGCGUGUCGUUCUGAGGAUUUCACUGCAGCAGCGCAUUGAAAGGAGCCCAGCCCAUGAGGAGCGCUCAGCCUGUGCCACCGAUCAAAAACCAAAAGACAGACAUUGUGACCCUCAGAAGAUGCUGGGACUGAAAAUUCCCUUCUCGGCUCCAGGCCCCUCAAAUGAAAUACCAAGAAUUUUCUCCCCUCGGAACA
Molecule: long non-coding RNA, 360 nt
Organism: Odocoileus virginianus texanus
Lineage: Eukaryota; Metazoa; Chordata; Mammalia; Artiodactyla; Cervidae
Source: RefSeq, a predicted model, not a curated record